CACUCCUGCGGGAGGCAGCAGUGGGGAAUAUCGCACAAUGGGCGCAAGCCUGAUGCAGCCAUGCCGCGUGUAUGAAGAAGGCCUUCGGGUUGUAAAGUACUUUCAGCGGGGAGGAAGGCGAUAAGGUUAAUAACCUUGUCGAUUGACGUUACCCGCAGAAGAAGCACCGGCUAACUCCGUGCCAGCAGCCGCGGUAAUACGGAGGGUGCAAGCGUUAAUCGGAAUUACUGGGCGUAAAGCGCACGCAGGCGGUCUGUCAAGUCGGAUGUGAAAUCCCCGGGCUCAACCUGGGAACUGCAUUCGAAACUGGCAGGCUAGAGUCUUGUAGAGGGGGGUAGAAUUCCAGGUGUAGCGGUGAAAUGCGUAGAGAUCUGGAGGAAUACCGGUGGCGAAGGCGGCCCCCUGGACAAAGACUGACGCUCAGGUGCGAAAGCGUGGGGAGCAAACAGGAUUAGAAACCCGGGUAGUCCCA
This 472-nucleotide ribosomal RNA is filed under the name uncultured organism. RNAcentral describes it as "partial 16S ribosomal RNA". It matches the Rfam family "Bacterial small subunit ribosomal RNA", at positions 334 to 797 of the family's 1533-position model. The record is from RNAcentral.